CUACGGGAGGCAGCAGUGAGGAAUAUUGCACAAUGGAGGAAACUCUGAUGCAGCAACGCCGCGUGGAGGAUGACGCAUUUCGGUGUGUAAACUCCUUUUAUAUGUCAAGAAAAUGACGGUAGCAUAUGAAUAAGCACCGGCUAACUCCGUGCCAGCAGCCGCGGUAAUACGGAGGGUGCAAGCGUUACUCGGAAUCACUGGGCGUAAAGGACGCGUAGGCGGGAUAUCAAGUCAGGUGUGAAAUCCUACAGCUUAACUGUAGAACUGCACUUGAAACUGGUAACCUAGAGUAUGGGAGGGGGAGAUGGAAUUAGUGGUGUAGGGGUAAAAUCCGUAGAUAUCACUAGGAAUACCUAAAGCGAAGGCGAUCUCCUGGAACAUAACUGACGCUAAGGCGUGAAAGCGUGGGGAGCAAACAGGAUUAGAUACCCUAGUAGUC
This 439-nucleotide ribosomal RNA is filed under the name uncultured bacterium. RNAcentral describes it as "partial 16S ribosomal RNA". It matches the Rfam family "Bacterial small subunit ribosomal RNA", at positions 339 to 795 of the family's 1533-position model. The record is from RNAcentral.